This 1308-nucleotide long non-coding RNA is filed under the name Prunus dulcis (almond). The record is from RNAcentral. Lineage: Eukaryota; Viridiplantae; Streptophyta; Magnoliopsida; Rosales; Rosaceae.
UCGUCCCUUCGGGGACAUCCGAUAAAAUUGGAACGAUACAGAGAAGAUUAGCAUGGCCCCUGCGCAAGGAUGACACGCAUAAAUCGAGAAAUGGUCCAAAUUUUUUUCCCUCUUUUUUGCCAAAAUUUUUUUUCCCUCUCCACAGUGUUUCCCACAAUCCCAAGGGCCAAAGCCGUAGUUCAGUGCAGUUACAGAGGCUUUAGAGGCUAUACGAACUAUGAGCAUUUUGCAUUUGAAGCCUUCGAUGGUUCGGUGGCUUAGUCUUUGAUUUUCCAGGUGUGAGUAAAAGUUUGAAUUCAAUCUACUUUUCUAAUUUAAAAGCAUAUCUGUCCAGUAUUUGAUGGUUUAGUGACUGAUUUUUUAGUAUGGAAUCUUGUUUCUUACAAUCUAAUCCAUUUAAAAAGCUUGCCCGCCAGCUGUUUGAUAAAAUGACUCUGUUACUAUGACCCUUGUACAAUUGUUAAGCAUGCACUUCAAAUGAUCCUCAGAUAAUCUCUUACAGGGCUCUAGCUUCUGAUCUCUGGCCUGAUGUUGUCCCUUUGGUAUUUGGUAUCUCCACCUUUUUUUAUUUGGCCGAGUAGGAUGUACAAAUCCAAGAUAUCCUUCUUUUAGUUGAGUUCGUGAGUAUUGGUUUAGAAGUUUCAAUCUUGGUUGUUUGAGAAAUUCUUAAAUGAUAAUGGUGGUAGCCAUUUAGAUUUAGAAGUUUAUAGAAUGCAAGGAUCAGCCUGUGACUUCAAUAUCCUGCUAUGCUAACAGUAGGAUUCAUUAAUGAUUUGAAAUGCUAAGUAAAAAGAAAGCAUAUCCUACAUGAUGAUAUCAGGUUAGAGUUGGGAUUAGGGACAUGAAAUCUGAAACCUAUUUUCAUGAAAUUUCUUUUGUUUCUGACAUGGUUUUUUGUUUGCGUACACCUAUGUUCUUGGCUUGAAUUUCAUGAAAACAAAACCAUGUUCUUGCCCUGAAUUUCUUUUCGUCUAUUGUCAUCUGGGGGUGAUAACAGAACCUAUGUUCUUAGGUUGAAUUGGCAACUUACUGAUAUUUAUGGACUCUUAUGCCUUUGACUGACCCGCAUUUCAUAUUCGUAUCAUGACAGGCCCCUUGAGCUCUCAAGCUUGCACUCAUGAAUCUUUUGAAAGUCCAUACUGUCUGUUACUUCGAAAACCAUGAAGCUGAUGGAUUGUUCGAAGUAAUUUUUGGAGUUGCUUCAGUUUGGGAACUAGAAGGUAGUGAAAGCCAUACCACUUUUCUUUUUUUUUUAACAAGUAAUCAACUCAAAACUAAAGCCUUUACCGCUUUGACAUAUAGUUGGCC